AUUGAACGCUGGCGGCAUGCUUUACACAUGCAAGUCGAACGGUAACAGGCCGCAAGGUGCUGACGAGUGGCGAACGGGUGAGUAAUGCAUCGGAACGUGCCCAGUCGUGGGGGAUAACGCAGCGAAAGCUGUGCUAAUACCGCAUACGAUCUAUGGAUGAAAGCGGGGGACCGUAAGGCCUCGCUCGACUGGAGCGGCCGAUGUCAGAUUAGGUAGUUGGUGGGGUAAAGGCUCACCAAGCCAACGAUCUGUAGCUGGUCUGAGAGGACGACCGGCCACCCUGGGACUGAGACACGGCCCAGACGCCUACGGGGGGCAGCAGUGGGGAAGUGUGGACAAUUGGCGCAAGCCUGAUCCAGCAAUGCCGCGUGCAGGAAGAAGGCCUUCGGGUUGUAAACUGCUUUUGUACGGAACGAAAAGGUUUGGGUUAAUACCCUGGGCCGAUGACGGAACCGUAAGAAUAAGCACCGGCUAACUACGUGCCAGCCGCCGCCGUAA
RNAcentral lists this ribosomal RNA (498 nucleotides) under uncultured bacterium. Its description in RNAcentral is "partial 16S ribosomal RNA". It matches the Rfam family "Bacterial small subunit ribosomal RNA", at positions 29 to 523 of the family's 1533-position model. The record is from RNAcentral.